This is a non-coding RNA of Nothobranchius furzeri (turquoise killifish), 1412 nucleotides long. The record is from RefSeq and is a predicted model, not a curated record. NCBI's taxonomy places the organism in Eukaryota, Metazoa, Chordata, Actinopteri, Cyprinodontiformes, Nothobranchiidae.
GUUAAUGUUUAACAUGAAUUAAAGACAGAAGCAUGACUGGUUUUACCUUUUUCAGGGUGAAUGUGACUUGGCGAGCCUCCUGCAGGUUAUGGUUGCCAUGUUUGGAGAGUGCCCUCCUGUGUGUAUGAAACCGGGGUUUGGACAAUCUUCCUGUUGGCAGCAUUACAGACGAGAUGAGGGCUUUUGUCUGCUUUUAGCCAAAGAUGAUGGUCACCCUUUCCAAAAUGAAACCAACUGUUAACUCUCAGUUAUUUCUGCAAAUAUCUAUCCUAUUGUAAAUAAACAUUAAUAUAAAGGUUUGUGUAGUUUUAGCCUCCUCUGACCCAAACUUGAAUUUGGUGUUAUUUCAACGAGAAAAACAUGUCUAUCUAUUAUAGAUUAGUUGACUGUAAUUUACAGAAAAAAUAUAAAAUUUCUAUAAAAUGUUGUAAAAUAUUCUAAAUACAGAAAUGCAACCAAAACAUUAAUAAGUACAAUUUAAGUCAAUAUCAAGUGUCUAUAAAUUAUGACAUAAAGGUCUAAGUAGAAGAGAAUACAUUUUUAGAGUGCAAUGAGUCAAUGUCCACAUCGUGAACAUGGGGGAGAUCCUCCGAAUGGCUGGAUGCACUUAUGAGAACGUUGUUAAAACCACCGUGCUUCUCGCUGACAUCAAUGAUUUCUCAAAUGUCAAUGAAGUUUACAAGCAGUGUGAGUGUGUUGGCUUCCCCUCUAUAGAUAAGAGCUGUUGUACAACCCUGACCGCUGCGUGUCAGCACAAACUAGCUAUACCACAAGUCCCAUUUAUUUAGCAUAAGGAGCCUUUAGAUCUUCCCGCUUUGCCCAUCUUUCCUUAGUUUACUCCAUAUAUGUUUUUAUAUUCCCUACUUCUAAAUAAAGUGAUGUUCUGUCUGGAAGAGUUUUUAUGGCUCCAUGCUGAUGUGAGGAGAGAUACCACAUGUUGCAUAAGCCAGUUAAACACCGAAACCAGAGAUGAUUCAGUGUUACUGUAGGGUUAAUGACCUAAACAUAGGAAUUAAAGGCUGUCGCUAUCAGCUUAUAUUUUAAUUUCUAAACUCAAACAAAUUGACGAAUGAGAUUAUAUAUGGAUAUAUAAAUAUAAUAGAUAUAAAUUUAUACACCAACUUGCUUGGUCUAUGUUUAAUCAAAAGUUUAUUAUAUUUAUUUUUAAAGAUUUAAUUUAAUAGCAAAGAUUAUUUGUUAAUUCAGAAGAUCUAAAGAUCUUUGCCUGUUCAGUGAUCAAUGUACACCCACUCUGUGUUUAUUUCAAGAAAGAGUCAAGUUUAAGAAGGUUAAGAAAUUUAUUACUAAACAAUUAUAAAACAUGACAACUUAUAAAAGACUUUGAUAUUAAAAAGACUUUGGUAUUAAAAAAGCAACCCUGUGUUUGGAUGAAUCUAAUAUGAAGUGUUUGU